This 1048-nucleotide long non-coding RNA is filed under the name Hordeum vulgare. RNAcentral's name for it is "long non-coding RNA (HVUL_LNC005083)". The record is from RNAcentral. Lineage: Eukaryota; Viridiplantae; Streptophyta; Magnoliopsida; Poales; Poaceae.
UAUGAACAUGUAUGUAUCCACUAUAGAAUUUAUGAAAUUGUCACAAAAAUAAUUCAAUGAUAACUUUGGUUAGAACAGUUAAUGUAAAUUUGCCAUAAGCAAGGUGAUUAAUUAUAUAAAUUAGAACUAAUUACAAAUAACAUUGGUUAAGUGGUUCAACUAGAUUGUGUAAACUAUGCAAACAAAAUAAUAAAAUUAUUCUUCAUACUAUUAUAUAGUGUGAUAAAUAAGAUUAAAUAAGUACAAAAAAUUGGCAUUAAAUUAUUUAUUUAUUUGCCCCUAGUCCCCAUUUUUUGGCUGUGCAUAAGAAUGUCACUACAAGGGUAUGUACUGUUGUAGUUAAAAGUCAUGGCUACUGGCAUCUUUGAAGAACCGUAUAUACUGAUGUAUCUCAUGUCAUUGAUGUUGAUGCUGAAGUCUGCAUGCAAAUAAUACAGUGAGAAUGUGUAAUGUCCAAGAUGCGGUACUAUCAUAAUCAUGGCUCAAGGCCUCGAUAGAGAUAGAAGCGCAUCUCGUCGUUUCGCAUGAAUAGUUAUCAUCGCACAUACAUUUAAAGAGGAUAUGCGUAUAUGGAGUUGGCUUACCCUCACCGCAAGUUAAAUCAUCAUCAUGCAAAUACAACCAUCCAUACAAUCAUCCGGAAGAACAUGGUAUAACUACAUACGAAACCAAAUGAUAAAAAAGAGAUAGACACCUAUCCCGCUAAUCCUAGGAAGCCGACCAAGUAUCCACCAAAUCGUCUCGAUAUGUAACGUACAUAAGCCCAGGCUCCUUGUCAUACUCCCACUAGAGUGUGGAGGCAUCAUCUGGAUUGAUCUUAUCUGUACCUGUACAUGUUGUGUUGUAUUAACCUAUGAGCCACGGAGACUCAGCAAUCUCAUCACCCAAGGUACCGAGUCUAAUUAAGCUUAAUAGGUCACUACUGGAAAACAGUUUUUUGCCAUCUGCCUAGUCUUUGCCGUCUGCUAGCUGAUGACAAAGAGUGUCUUUGCCGUCAGCUUCAGCAAAACAGGCGGCAAAGCACAGGCUGAUGGCAUAAAGUUUUUUU